Molecule: ribosomal RNA, 279 nt
Filed under: Segatella copri DSM 18205
Lineage: Bacteria; Pseudomonadati; Bacteroidota; Bacteroidia; Bacteroidales; Prevotellaceae
Description: Prevotella copri DSM 18205 partial 16S ribosomal RNA
Rfam family: Bacterial small subunit ribosomal RNA
Source: RNAcentral
UACGGAAGGUCCGGGCGUUAUCCGGAUUUAUUGGGUUUAAAGGGAGCGUAGGCCGGAGAUUAAGCGUGUUGUGAAAUGUAGACGCUCAACGUCUGCACUGCAGCGCGAACUGGUUUCCUUGAGUACGCACAAAGUGGGCGGAAUUCGUGGUGUAGCGGUGAAAUGCUUAGAUAUCACGAAGAACUCCGAUUGCGAAGGCAGCUCACUGGAGCGCAACUGACGCUGAAGCUCGAAAGUGCGGGUAUCGAACAGGAUUAGAAACCCUACGGCUGACUGACU